This 253-nucleotide ribosomal RNA is filed under the name uncultured bacterium. Its description in RNAcentral is "partial 16S ribosomal RNA". It matches the Rfam family "Bacterial small subunit ribosomal RNA", at positions 524 to 776 of the family's 1533-position model. The record is from RNAcentral.
UACGGAGGGUGCAAGCGUUGUCCGGAAUCACUGGGCGUAAAGGGCGCGUAGGCGGCUCAUGAAGGCUGUGGUGAAAGUCCGGGGCUCAACCUCGGAUCGGCCGUGGCGACUCGUGGGCUGGAGCACUGUAGAGGCGGGUGGAAUUCCGGGUGUAGCGGUGGAAUGCGUAGAUAUCGGGAGGAACACCAGUGGCGAAGGCGAUCACCUGGGGUUGUUCUGACGCUGAGGAGCGAAAGCUAGGGGAGCAAACGGG